Molecule: ribosomal RNA, 434 nt
Filed under: uncultured Lachnospiraceae bacterium
Lineage: Bacteria; Bacillati; Bacillota; Clostridia; Lachnospirales; Lachnospiraceae
Description: partial 16S ribosomal RNA
Rfam family: Bacterial small subunit ribosomal RNA
Source: RNAcentral
ACGGAAGGCAGCAGUGGGGGAUAUUGCACAAUGGGGGACACCCUGAUGCAGCGACGCCGCGUGAGUGAAGAAGUAUUUCGGUAUGUAAAGCUCUAUCAGCAGGAAAGAUAAUGACGGUACCUGACUAAGAAGCACCGGCUAAAUACGUGCCAGCAGCCGCGGUAAUACGUAUGGUGCAAGCGUUAUCCGGAUUUACUGGGUGUAAAGGGGGCGUAGACGGCAUGGCAAGCCAGAUGUGAAAGGCAGGGGCUCAACUCCUGGACUGCAUUUGGAACUGUCAAGCUAGAGUAUCGGAGAGGUAAGUGGAAUUCCUAGUGUAGCGGUGAAAUGCGUAGAUAUUAGGAGGAACACCAGUGGCGAAGGCGGCUUGCUGGACGAUAACUGACGUUGAGGCUCGAAAGCGUGGGGAGCAAACAGGAUUAGAUACCCUGGUA